GUCCUAGGAGGCUCCUCUG
RNAcentral lists this microRNA (19 nucleotides) under Homo sapiens (human). Its description in RNAcentral is "hsa-miR-5571-3p". Lineage: Eukaryota; Metazoa; Chordata; Mammalia; Primates; Hominidae. The record is from miRBase by way of RNAcentral.